This 683-nucleotide long non-coding RNA is filed under the name Malus domestica (apple). RNAcentral describes it as "long non-coding RNA (MDOM_LNC001797)". The record is from RNAcentral. Lineage: Eukaryota; Viridiplantae; Streptophyta; Magnoliopsida; Rosales; Rosaceae.
GAGUUCACUGAACACAAUCGAACGAGAGUACUUGCAUGGAGGUCUACUCACAUGUCAAUCAAGUAACUCUAAUGGUUGGAAUAAUGUAAGUAGUCCUUUGACCUGAGGCAUCGUCGUUGUCUUGUGGCUAAGUACUUAAUCUUUGAUUAUGUCAAAGUCAUCCCAUCCGCGGGUGUCCACGGCAUGAUUGGGGUUAAGCCACUUAGUCAUGAAGGCAAGUGUAUGCGCAACAAGGGAUCUCUAAUCUUCGAUAAGAGAGGAAGAAUACUCUAAGAUAUGAUUCGGGAAUCUUCGGCCAAAGUAUCGAGCGUAAUAAAGGAAAGCGUUCCUAUACGACUCAAUUGAAUCAUAUAAGAAGGAAUAAUCACAUUAGGGGUUUGACAUAAUAUAUCCAUACCCUAGUAAUGUGAUUGAGAGUAUUGUAUUAGAGAAGGAUUGAAUUACAUUGUAAUUCCAACUGAAUAGGUUCUCCGAAUAAACUUCUACAUUAGCUUGGGUAGCUAUGACAUAUGGUUAGAUGUCACUCAUAGCUUGUAAGUUCUUCUAGAUGAUUAAAUGUAGUCAUCAAAGAAGAAAGAUGAAUUAAAAGGAAGUUUUAAUUCACUAAGUGAUUGGAUAAAAUAUAAUCAAUUGGAUUGGUGCCAAUCACCUCACUGCCUUGCUAAUUAGAACCUAAAAGAUUG